UAGGUAUGUUUUCACAAUAGAUUUGAGAAAUAUGUUCGCUUUAGGUCCAAAUUAUCUCUUUAUGCAUUGCUCAGGAACAAUUUUGGACGUCACUACACAGAAAGCGGAGUUUGAUCUGAACAUUUUGAUAUGAAACACAUUGGGAUCAGGUUAUAUGCACACA
This is a long non-coding RNA of Sander lucioperca (pikeperch), 163 nucleotides long. RefSeq lists it as uncharacterized. The transcript has 3 exons. Lineage: Eukaryota; Metazoa; Chordata; Actinopteri; Perciformes; Percidae. The record is from RefSeq and is a predicted model, not a curated record.